UAUCGCUGAGAGAUGGGCUCGCGGCCGAUUAGGUAGUUGGUGAGAUAACAGCCCACCAAGCCGACGAUCGGUAGCCGGACUGAGAGGUUGAACGGCCACAUUGGGACUGAGACACGGCCCAGACUCCUACGGGAGGCAGCAGUGGGGGAUAUUGCACAAUGGGGGAAACCCUGAUGCAGCGACGCCGCGUGAGGGAAGACGGUCUUCGGAUUGUAAACCUCUGUCUUUAGGGACGAAGAAAUGACGGUACCUAAGGAGGAAGCCACGGCUAACUACGUGCCAGCAGCCGCGGUAAUACGUAGGUGGCAAGCGUUGUCCGGAAUUACUGGGUGUAAAGGGAGCGUAGGCGGGGAGACAAGUUGAAUGUUUAAACUAUCGGCUCAACUGAUAGUCGCGUUCAAAACUAUCACUCUUGAGUGCAGUAGAGGUAGGCGGAAUUCCUAGUGUAGCGGUGAAAUGCGUAGAUAUUAGGAGGAACGCCAGUGGCGAAGGCGGCCUACUGGGCUGUAACUGACGCUGAGGCUCGAAAGCGUGGGUAGCAAACAGGAUUAGAUACCCUGGUAGUCCACGCCGUAAACGAUGAUUACUAGGUGUGGGGGGACUGACCCCUUCCGUGCCGGAGU
This 623-nucleotide ribosomal RNA is filed under the name uncultured bacterium. RNAcentral's name for it is "bacterial SSU rRNA". It matches the Rfam family "Bacterial small subunit ribosomal RNA", at positions 213 to 852 of the family's 1533-position model. The record is from RNAcentral.